GCCACCGAAGAGUCUCCAUAAUUUCACGCUCUCGAACUUGAGGUGGGGGAGCCAGCAGACACUUCAAGUGCAUGAAGAUCGAUGAUUCCAUGAGUUCCAGCUAUCAUCGACUACGACGGUGAUCUUCGUCUUUGCGAUUCGCGGCUCCUCUGUUUCGGUUCGGCGAGUCUGAGCAUCAAAGCAAGAUCAACAAACAAGAUCGUCGACGUCUCCACUACAUCAUCAUAUUCGGCUGCACUAGGUUCAGUCCUUCCCGAAACACCGCCUUUUAUCCCGCGGUUUAUAUCCUUUUCACCUUGCUAUCAGAUUGUCUGCUCAAAUAUAUUACUAAUCUAAGAUCCACAUUCUUUUUGGCUCCUUUAUACUGCUCAGUGAUCCUUUUUCUAGCUGAUUAAGAGGAACUCACCACUUUGGAUCGAGAAAGAUGAAAAUGAUGACGGCAAAAUUUAAUUGAUUCCACUUUGAAUUCGAGCAAGUUGUUUCCUUUCCCGAGUUUUUUUCUUGGGUUUCCACUCAAACUAUGCUAAUAAAAUUUAAUCAGCACAAGAACAGAUUGAAUCAUCAAAAGCUUGAGAAUUGUGAACCAGAAAGGAAAGCAGCCGACUUUAGGUUGAGUACUCGGCCUUUCCUCAGUCUUGUGGAGAAGAAAUGGUUGGCGUUUCAGUUACUUCUUGCUGUGAAGCAGUGCCAUGAGAAGGAUAUAUGUCAUGGUGAUAUCAAGUGCGAGAACGUCUUGGUCACUUCCGGGAACUGGCUUUCCUUCUUUUAUGAUACAAGGGAACGAAGGCUUUGUUAUCUGGCUCAAGAGGUACUAUAGAACCAUUAUCAAAAUUAUUCCUUUUAUUUGUCGUAUCGUUCUAUUUCACCUCUGCUUAGAAUAUUAUUAUGCUGUAUUUAUUUCUCUUUUAAUAAGCCCUUUGUCCAUGGUACAUUUCGGAAGUUGCCGUUACUGGAGUCAGAUUAAUGAUCGAAGCGGAAUACUCAUGGGGUUGAUAUGAUCCCUGCUUAAUAGAAAGGUAUUUGAUCUUACAUAACUGAAAGCCCAUGAAUUUGGACUUUACGGUUUGACGUGUUUGCAGAAAAACUAGAUGAAUGUGCCAGAGAGUUCAAAGAAAGGACGCAUAUCAUGGUGGCAGGUGGUGAUGAUACAAUUGGUUCGGUUGUCUCGAUACAACUUGGCUAUGUACGCUCUAAAAAUUCUUCAAUCCAAAUUGUAACAAGAAACAUCAGGAUUCUACAAGAGACGAGCCAGGUUUUGAUUCGUCUACACUGUCGAUAUGUAGCUUUCGUUUCUCUGAUUGACGUAGUUUUUAAUAUCUCCAUUUGUUUAUGAUGCAGUAAUUUUUUUCGUUGGUAGCUUCUUUCUUUGCUGCAGUGUAUGUAACAAAAUCGAAAGAGUUCUUUCCCCAAACAAAAUUAGAAUUCAGCUCAAAAGUUGUAAUGUGUGCAUGUGCUAAGAAUGUAUAUCGCAUGGAGACAACAGGUCUGUAAGACAUUCUGACCUCAGGUGAUGAUGAGGAUAGGUGACAGGUGGUUUCAGUGGCAAUGAUAUGAGGAUAGGUGGCAGGUGGUGAUGGUAUAGUUGGUUUGGUUCUUGGUUGUCUCGAUGAGAGACACAGAGAAUGGCAUGAUGCUUUUGAUAUACACAACUUUGCUAUGUAAUCUCUACAAAUUCUUCAAUCCAAGUUAUAAUAAAAAUAUAUGUUUGAUACAUGGAUAAUAAUUUGAUCAUUAAAUGAGAAAACAUGAUGUUCAACCAAAAAAAGAAAAAGCAAACAUAAGAAAGUAUAGCUAUAACAAACAAUACUAACUUUUAUAUUGUGUAUCUAAUUAAAACAUUUACUCUAUUACAUUGAGUUAAUUAUUUCUUCUUUCACAAUAUCUAAAUCAAAAUUUAGGGGGAAAAGUAUAACAGAAUCAGAGUACCAAUUUUUUCAAAAACAAAUGUAUAAGAGUACAAAAAUAAAUCAUGAUUUUUUUGCAGUUUAAGUGUGUAUAAUUAUUUGCUUGAUGACAUAUUCUUUGAUUGUUUAGAGCAUUUCCAACCCC
Long non-coding RNA from Brassica napus (rape), 2049 nucleotides. RefSeq lists it as uncharacterized. Lineage: Eukaryota; Viridiplantae; Streptophyta; Magnoliopsida; Brassicales; Brassicaceae. The record is from RefSeq and is a predicted model, not a curated record. The transcript is spliced from 5 exons.